GGAAGUGUGCCCGAGCACAGGGGCUAUUUUGAUGAAAUAGACACAGAAGCAUAUCAAACCUCUCACUUCCAA
This 72-nucleotide transfer RNA is filed under the name Laudakia sacra. Its description in RNAcentral is "tRNA-Ile". The record is from RNAcentral. Lineage: Eukaryota; Metazoa; Chordata; Lepidosauria; Squamata; Agamidae.